Molecule: unclassified non-coding RNA, 300 nt
Filed under: uncultured Scolecobasidium
Lineage: Eukaryota; Fungi; Ascomycota
Description: sequence contains 5.8S rRNA gene, ITS2
Rfam family: 5.8S ribosomal RNA (bases 1-71)
Source: RNAcentral
GUGAGUCAUCGAAUCUUUGAACGCACAUUGCGCCUCUCGGUAUUCCGGGAGGCACGCCUGUUCGAGCGCCAUUACAAACUCCAAGCCGUGCUUGAUGUUGGUCCGGUGUGUCUCUUGUGGACGUUUCUUGUCUAUGCAGGUAGAUGAGGGAUGGAGAUGGGAGACACAGGACUGGAACACGUUGGCGCCGGCGCCAGACCCCGAGCGUAGCAAGACGAGAGUCAAGAAAUCGCAUCGGAUUGGAUCUGGCGGACGGCGGCCUUGUUUUUUUUGUUGAUUUGUGUUGUUUGUAUGUCUCAG